UACGUAGGGUGCAGGCGUUAAUCGGAAUUACUGGGCGUAAAGCGUGCGCAGGCGGUCUUUUAAGUCAGAUGUGAAAUCCCCGGGCUUAACCUGGGAACUGCGUUUGAAACUGAAAGGCUAGAGUGUGGAAGAGGGGGGUGGAAUUCCACGUGUAGCAGUGAAAUGCGUAGAGAUGUGGAGGAACACCGAUGGCGAAGGCAGCCCCCUGGGCUAACACUGACGCUCAUGCACGAAAGCGUGGGGAGCGAUCCGG
Molecule: ribosomal RNA, 253 nt
Filed under: uncultured bacterium
Lineage: Bacteria
Description: partial 16S ribosomal RNA
Rfam family: Bacterial small subunit ribosomal RNA
Source: RNAcentral